GCCCGCGAGGGAGCCCUAGCACAGGUGCUGCAUGGCCGUCGUCAGCUCGUGCCGUGAGGUGUUGGGUUAAGUCCCGCAACGAGCGCAACCCCCGCCGUUAGUUGCCAGCGGUUCGGCCGGGCACUCUAACGGGACUGCCCGCGAAAGCGGGAGGAAGGAGGGGACGACGUCUGGUCAGCAUGGCCCUUACGGCCUGGGCGACACACGUGCUACAAUGCCCACUACAAAGCGAGGCCACCCGGCAACGGGGAGCUAAUCGCAAAAAGGUGGGCCCAGUUCGGAUUGGGGUCUGCAACCCGACCCCAUGAAGCCGGAAUCGCUAGUAAUCGCGGAUCAGCCAUGCCGCGGUGAACACGUUCCCGGGCCUU
This 368-nucleotide ribosomal RNA is filed under the name uncultured Thermus sp. RNAcentral describes it as "bacterial SSU rRNA". It matches the Rfam family "Bacterial small subunit ribosomal RNA", at positions 1014 to 1382 of the family's 1533-position model. Lineage: Bacteria; Thermotogati; Deinococcota; Deinococci; Thermales; Thermaceae. The record is from RNAcentral.